CCUACGGGUGGCAGCAGUGGGGAAUAUUGGACAAUGGGCGCAAGCCUGAUCCAGCCAUGCCGCGUGAGUGACGAAGGCCUUAGGGUUGUAAAGCUCUUUUGGCGGGGAAGCGGUACCCGCAGAAUAAGCUCCGGCUAACUUCGUGCCAGCAGCCGCGGUAAUACGAAGGGAGCUAGCGUUGUUCGGAAUCACUGGGCGUAAAGCGCACGUAGGCGGAUUUGUCAGUCAGGGGUGAAAUCCCGGAGCUCAACUUCGGAACUGCCCUUGAUACAGCAAGUCUUGAGUCCGAGAGAGGUGGGUGGAAUUCCUAGUGUAGAGGUGAAAUUCGUAGAUAUUAGGAAGAACACCGGUGGCGAAGGCGGCCCACUGGCUCGGACUGACGCUGAGGUGCGAAGCGUGGGGAGCAACAGGAUUAGAUACCCUUGUAGUC
This 430-nucleotide ribosomal RNA is filed under the name uncultured bacterium. RNAcentral describes it as "partial 16S ribosomal RNA". It matches the Rfam family "Bacterial small subunit ribosomal RNA", at positions 338 to 795 of the family's 1533-position model. The record is from RNAcentral.